UGAGACCAAAAUGCAGCUGAGCUGUUAUAAGCCCAAGAUGCACCUAAAACCACCCUCAAGACGAUCUCAGCACCCUUGAUUUAUCAAACUCCACGAAAGCUAAGACCCAAACUGGGAUUAGAUACCCCACUAUGCUUAGCCCUAAAUCCUGAUGCUUACCCUACCAAAGCAUCCGCCCGAGGACUACGAGCACAAACGCUUAAAACUCUAAGGACUUGGCGGUGCCCCAAACCCACCUAGAGGAGCCUGUUCUGUAAUCGAUAACCCACGAUACACCCGACCUCUCCUUGCUAAGGCAGCCUACAUACCGCCGUCGCCAGCUCACCUCCCUUGAAAGUAUAACAGUGAACACAAUAGCCACCCGCUAAUAAGACAGGUCAAGGUAUAGCCUAUGGAGUGGAAGAAAUGGGCUACAUUUUCUAACAUAGAAAAACGGAAGGGGGUGUGAAACCACCCCCCAAAGGCGGAUUUAGUAGUAAAGUAGAACAAUAGAGCCUACUUUAAGUCGGCCCUGAGGCACGUACAUACCGCCCGUCACCCUCC
This 543-nucleotide ribosomal RNA is filed under the name Oreopholus ruficollis. Its description in RNAcentral is "partial 12S ribosomal RNA". It matches the Rfam family "Bacterial small subunit ribosomal RNA", at positions 656 to 1405 of the family's 1533-position model. Lineage: Eukaryota; Metazoa; Chordata; Aves; Charadriiformes; Charadriidae. The record is from RNAcentral.